Alligator sinensis (Chinese alligator) is the source of this 828-nucleotide long non-coding RNA. RefSeq lists it as uncharacterized. NCBI's taxonomy places the organism in Eukaryota, Metazoa, Chordata, Crocodylia, Alligatoridae. The transcript is spliced from 3 exons. The record is from RefSeq and is a predicted model, not a curated record.
AGUACCCCCAGUUUGGUGCUUGGGGCACUGGGAACUAUGGCUCUCCUUUUCCCUGGCAGAGUGAUCUUAACCAGCAGGCAACCGAAGAAAGAGGAAGCACUUUCCACCACAUCUUUGAAUGAAGUAGCCAUUGCUGCAGUGUUUUGUCCUUGACGACUAAAGCACAUUUGAAGCAGUUGCAAAGGGAAUAAGGUGAGCUACAAGAGAAGAAAUCAUCCCUCAGGACUGCCACCUCAUUUCUGACUUAUUUAAAAGAAUUGCAAAAAGAAUAUUCAGAUUGCAGAGAAACACCUGCUGGAAAAAGUAACUUAUGGUGUUUCCAAACUACCUGCUCUUCUGAUGGGAUCUUAAAGAAUUUUAGGAGCUGAGAAGCACUUGCAAGUAAUCAACACAAGAUUACAACAGGUUUUGGAGUUACAAAAGUCACCAGAGAAAUCUUAAAAUGCUUUAUACCAGGGGCUCCCAAACUGUGGUACGCGUACCCCUAGGGGUAUGCAAAACAUCUCUGAGGAUAUGCAGGAGAAAUUGUGUAAUAGCAGAUUUAAUUUUCAUUGUAAUGGCAUUUACAGGGUUAAAAUAUAAAAAGUAGGCUGCUAGGGGUACGCGGACAGCUGCUAAAUCUGGAUGGGGGUACGCAUAAGAAAAAGCUUUGGAACCUCUGCCUUAUACAAAACAUUUUAAAGACUCUCUUUUCAACUAAGCAUGAACUAUUUUACUUUUCUUUUCGAAUGUAAAUGUACAACAAAGACAAGUGGAAAGUGCUGCACCUGGGCAAAAAGAACCACCAACAAAUUUACAGGCUGGGGGAUGACCACCUCAGCAGCAGAG